CUUCUCUCUGUCUCUCCUCCCCCAUCCCCCUCAAUCCGAAUCUUCCCCCGGAACCCAAUCCAUGGCGCCGCAGCGCUCGCUGCCCUCGGCCUCCUCACGCCGCCGCCGCUCGUCCUCCUCGACUUCCCCCGCGUGCGUUCUCCUCUUCCUCUCCUCUGCGCCACGCCGGCUUCCGAUCCCGCGCCUCCAACCCCUGAUCCAUCGACGCUGGCGGAGUGCCCUUCGGCGGAGAGAAGGCCCAGGGCGACACCGGCCCCCAAUCCCAUGCGUCGAGCCCCUGCUUCGUGCAUGGUGCUGGAGCACCCUUCAGCGCCGAGGAGGCGCAGCGCGACAAGGCCGCCGCCGGCGUCGGUGCUCCCUGGCGCGACACGACCUCCGCCGGCGUCGGUUCUCCAAGCACAUCCACUCCGACGACGCCCAGGUCCUCUCUAGUUGUUGUUUGUUCCGUUUGUCGAAGCUUCGGCCAGCCUGCUGUUCGUUGCCGUGUCGAGAUGUUGCAAGGUUAAAAUGGCAUGGACGAGUACUCAUUUAUUCAUGGAGCUAGCGCAGAGCAUCCUUUUUUGAUAGAGGGAUUUGGGCAUCAAUCCUUGGCCUUGCUCCUGAUUAUGUAUGGGAAGUGGGAGUGCUAAUUAGGCAUUGGAUGUAUACUUUGCCUAUGAAGAUUAGUGGAACUGCUCAAAUUUACCUCAAAUAUAGUUACAAGGUUACAUUCUUCUUCACUUAUAUAUGCUCUUUUUUAUGCACUCUUGUUUCAUUUAUGGAUUUGGUGUAUCCUCAAGUAUGUAAAUCCACAAGGUAUAUAAUUGGUACAGGAUUAAGCACAAAUUAUUGAGAGCUGAUGCUGAACAAUGCACUUGAACUUUGAGCAAUCUGUCAGCCAUUGUUCAAAUAACAUCUUUAUGUGCUUAGGAUUAGGAGGAUAUAUAUGAACCCAACUUCGACACAGGUUUUGCAUUGGCUGCAUAGGCCGCUGCCCCGUUUAUUAAGUUUGCUAUCCAUCUUACUCACAUUGUUGGUUGUGGCUGCCAUCAUCAUUAUAUUACAGGUUCUUCAUUUCCUUCUGUUGUGCCACCCUGCAUUCUUAACUAUAUGCUCUUUAUGGAAAUCAUAGGUUAAUGAAAAAGGCUAUCUCAUUGCAGGAGACAUGUUCAUUUUUUUUGAAGGAUAAACUCUUCAUGCCCCAACUACAACAAGAGGAGAUAGCUCAAGAUGCACUUUUGGUAUUGUUCUGCAAUCUGUUUACACAUCCGGGACUGCUGUUGUUGUUGCUUGUGGUUGUCUCAUGAUCUUGGCUGUUGGUGGCUGGUACCAGCUCAGAUUGAUCUGGCGAUAGGAGAUGAUGGGGGUAGAUUAUACGAUCGAGGAAAGGCGAAUCUGAGCCCACUAUGCAUGGAACCCCGAACCCUUUUUAUUUGUAUUUAAAGGUGUUGCUUAUUUAUGCUCCAGUGUUUAUAGUCGUCUUAUGUAAAUAUUUCUUCUCUCUCAUACCUUUGUUGCAUAUACGUUGUUCUUGAUCUUUUAUUGUUUGUUGUUGGUCCUUGAUCUAAUCUGGUUAAGAGUAAGUUGCACUUUGUUAUUCUGGGAUAAGCGAUGGUUCGCAAUGCUAUUGGUUCUUCAUGAGUUCAGAGGAGGAUUUCUGAUAUGAGUCAUGCCAGUAAGCUUUCUUGCAGUGCAGGAAUUUAUUUAUUUUCUUUCCGGAGCCGCGGCCGCUGCCCUGUGACCAGAAGCAUUGGGGAUCUCGAGAGGGAAUUUUGCAGUUGUGGCCAUUUUAAAAAUAGACCUCUGUGAAAUCUAUGUACUCCUGAUACUAUUAUAUCAUGCUACAUUUCCUGUGAUAUAUCAAAUAUCUAUCCUUUGUCCUAAACAAGAGGCCUUACGUUUAUACUGAGCAAUACUAAUUUGGUCAGUAUAUAAUAUUGCAAUGCUUAUAACCCUUUGGUCAGUGACCCAUCUGAAUUGAGAUGCAUCAUAGUUAUCUUAAUAUUAUUUGUUCUGUUUCUUACUCACUGAUCCAUUCCACACAACAAGUAUUCUUCCUGAGAACUAUGCUCAGAUAGUUGAAUAUAUUAUUUUGUACUUAAUUGUUGAAAGAUGGAUUUGUAUUACUAAUGCUGAGAUGGGCAUUACAAUUUUCUUUCAAGGGAACAGACCAAACCAAACUGCGACUUUAUUUGUAAAUAUUUGAAAUUUAUAUUAUGUAUCUUAUGUGAUCUCAGAGGACUUAAUUUUUGUGUGGGGACCUCAAGCUACCUUUAGUGACUUACAAGCUAUCAACCAACAAGAGUUUUCCCUGCUUUUGGAGCCUGCUAAGCUAUCAACAAACAAAGAGGUACUAUGCUGAGACUGAAGAGGAGGCUAGCCAGCGGCCCAUCUCUCUUGCCGUCACCGCUGAGCCGCCAUGUCUCCUUCAGAGGCUUAUUGUAUUGCUACAUGUUUAUGCUUCUUAUCCACUCACCCAUUGUAGUGUAGGUCUGUUGUGGCAAUUGAAUGCUUCAAAGGAUUUUAAUGGAGUUCAUUGUGGCUGAGUCGUGAAUCUCCAGCUUGCUUCCAUGUCUUUUCUCACUAGAGACACCUCCUGCCGGUGACGGCGAUGACCGCUACCCUGCUCCUCUCCCGGCAAAGGCAUGUCUACCUCUCCUGUGAAGUUGGCCAUGUUUGCUCUUCCUUCAGUUUUUCCUCUGUUUUUUGUUACACGACUUUGUGGUGGUUAGUGUAUAUAUCAUUCCCCCCUGUCCAUUGAUUGAACAACUCUGCUACAUGUGAUUGCAUUAGCAAACUCCAUUUUUGUUUAUGUAGAAAAACAAAGGAGACUCCAUUUUUGUGUAUGUGGAAAAAACAAAGGAAACUGCAUUUUUGUGUAAUUACAAACAAAUGAAACUCCAUUUUUGUGUAAUUACAAACAAAUGAAACUCCAUUUUUGUGUAAUUACAAACAAGAGACUUUUAGACGGCGAAGACUGCUGCCCUGAUCCUAAGAGCCUACUGACAUUUCACCAAAUCUUGUUAUAAUUUUUUUAUCAGCAGCAGAUACUUUUAAAUUUGUCUUUACAAUUCCAAGUACAUGAGCAUACUGAUCCUUCUAUUUUUGAU
Long non-coding RNA from Triticum dicoccoides, 3089 nucleotides. RefSeq lists it as uncharacterized. NCBI's taxonomy places the organism in Eukaryota, Viridiplantae, Streptophyta, Magnoliopsida, Poales, Poaceae. The transcript is spliced from 8 exons. The record is from RefSeq and is a predicted model, not a curated record.